CGACCCGCGAACAAGUUUAAUUUUCAUGCGCCCGACACGGCUCGCCAGAAGCCCCAAGGAAAUUGAGUACUAGGAGCACGCCCUCGUAGCCUCGGUGUCGGGGGCGCGCCUUCUUUUUGUGAUAAUCUGAACGACUCUCGGCAACGGAUAUCUCGGCUCUCGCAUCGAUGAAGAACGUAGCGAAAUGCGAUACUUGGUGUGAAUUGCAGAAUCCCGUGAACCAUCGAGUCUUUGAACGCAAGUUGCGCCCGAGGCCUCCUGGUCGAGGGCACGCCUGCCUGGGUGUCACGCAUCGUCGCCCCCACUCCCCUCGGCUCACGAGGGCGGGGGCGGAUACUGGUCUCCCGCGCGCUCCCGCCCGUGGUUGGCCUAAAAUCGAGUCCUCGGCGACGGUCGCCACGACAAGCGGUGGUUGAGAGACCCUCGGACACGGUCGUGCGCGUGCUUGUCGCCCCCGGGACCUCCCGGACCCCCGAGCAUUGGCUUUCAAGGAUGCUCUCGUUGCGACCCCAGGUCAGGCGGGACUACCCGCUGAG
RNAcentral lists this ribosomal RNA (536 nucleotides) under embryophyte environmental sample. Its description in RNAcentral is "eukaryotic LSU rRNA". The stretch from base 133 to 288 matches the Rfam family "5.8S ribosomal RNA". The record is from RNAcentral. Lineage: Eukaryota; Viridiplantae; Streptophyta.